UCGAGCGGAAGGCCCUUCGGGGUACUCGAGCGGCGAACGGGUGAGUAACACGUGAGCAACCUGCCCCUGACUCUGGGAUAAGCCUGGGAAACCGGGUCUAAUACCGGAUAUGACGCGCUCUCGCAUGGGAUGCGUGUGGAAAGUUUUUUCGGUUGGGGAUGGGCUCGCGGCCUAUCAGCUUGUUGGUGGGGUAGUGGCCUACCAAGGCGACGACGGGUAGCCGGCCUGAGAGGGCGACCGGCCACACUGGGACUGAGACACGGCCCAGACUCCUACGGGAGGCAGCAGUGGGGAAUAUUGCGCAAUGGGCGGAAGCCUGACGCAGCGACGCCGCGUGGGGGAUGACGGCCUUCGGGUUGUAAACCUCUUUCAGCAGGGACGAAGGUGACGUGUACCUGCAGAAGAAGCGCCGGCUAACUACGUGCCAGCAGCCGCGGUAAUACGUAGGGCGCAAGCGUUGUCCGGAAUUAUUGGGCGUAAAGAGCUCGUAGGUGGCUUGUCGCGUCGGGUGUGAAAGCUUGGGGCUUAACUCCAGGUCUGCAUUCGAUACGGGCUGGCUAGAGGUAGGUAGGGGAGAACGGAAUUCCUGGUGUAGCGGUGAAAUGCGCAGAUAUCAGGAGGAACACCGGUGGCGAAGGCGGUUCUCUGGGCCUUACCUGACGCUGAGGAGCGAAAGCGUGGGGAGCGAACAGGAU
Molecule: ribosomal RNA, 695 nt
Filed under: Streptosporangium sp. TR-232
Lineage: Bacteria; Bacillati; Actinomycetota; Actinomycetes; Streptosporangiales; Streptosporangiaceae
Description: bacterial SSU rRNA
Rfam family: Bacterial small subunit ribosomal RNA
Source: RNAcentral